GACGAACGCUGGCGGCGUGCUUAACGCAUGCAAGUCGAACGGAAAGGCCCUGCUUUUGUGGGGUGCUCGAGUGGCGAACGGGUGAGUAACACGUGAGUAACCUGCCCUUGACUUUGGGAUAACUUCAGGAAACUGGGGCUAAUACCGGAUAGGAGCUCCUGCUGCAUGGUGGGGGUUGGAAAGUUUCGGCGGUUGGGGAUGGACUCGCGGCCUAUCAGCUUGUUGGUGGGGUAGUGGCUUACCAAGGCUUUGACGGGUAGCCGGCCUGAGAGGGUGACCGGCCACAUUGGGACUGAGAUACGGCCCAGACUCCUACGGGAGGCAGCAGUGGGGAAUAUUGCACAAUGGGCGGAAGCCUGAUGCAGCAACGCCGCGUGCGGGAUGACGGCCUUCGGGUUGUAAACCGCUUUCGCCUGUGACGAAGCGUGAGUGACGGUAAUGGGUAAAGAAGCACCGGCUAACUACGUG
Molecule: ribosomal RNA, 468 nt
Filed under: uncultured bacterium
Lineage: Bacteria
Description: partial 16S ribosomal RNA
Rfam family: Bacterial small subunit ribosomal RNA
Source: RNAcentral